This 93-nucleotide transfer RNA is filed under the name Parahaemophilus pittmaniae. RNAcentral's name for it is "Haemophilus pittmaniae tRNA-Ala(cgc)". The record is from RNAcentral. Lineage: Bacteria; Pseudomonadati; Pseudomonadota; Gammaproteobacteria; Pasteurellales; Pasteurellaceae.
GUGCUUGAUAUCUUAGUUGAUGAUGGCCAUGCUCGCGGUAUGGUUGCCAUGAAUAUGAUGGAAGGCACACUUGUGCAAAUCAACGCAAAUGCA